UUAGUGGCGGACGGGUGAGUAACGCGUGAGUAACCUGCCUUCAAGAGGGGGAUAACAUUCUGAAAAGAAUGCUAAUACCGCAUGACAUAUCGGAACCACAUGGUUUUGAUAUCAAAGAUUUUAUCGCUUGAAGAUGGACUCGCGUCUGAUUAGCUAGUUGGUAAGGUAACGGCUUACCAAGGCGACGAUCAGUAGCCGGACUGAGAGGUUGAUCGGCCACAUUGGGACUGAGACACGGCCCAGACUCCUACGGGAGGCAGCAGUGGGGAAUAUUGCACAAUGGGGGGAACCCUGAUGCAGCGAUGCCGCGUGGAGGAAGAAGGUUUUCGGAUUGUAAACUCCUGUUGAAGAGGACGAUAAUGACGGUACUCUUUUAGAAAGCUCCGGCUAACUACGUGCCAGCAGCCGCGGUAAUACGUAGGGAGCGAGCGUUGUCCGGAAUUACUGGGUGUAAAGGGAGCGUAGGCGGGAUGGCAAGUCAGAUGUGAAAACUAUGGGCUCAACCCAUAGACUGCAUUUGAAACUGUUGUUCUUGAGUGAGGUAGAGGUAAGCGGAAUUCCUGGUGUAGCGGUGAAAUGCGUAGAGAUCAGGAGGCACAUCGGUGGCGAAGGCGGCCUACUGGGCACCAACUGACGCUGAGGCUCGAAAGUGUGGGUAGCAAACAGGAUUAGAUACCCUGGUAGUCCACACCGUAAACGAUGAUUACUAGGUGUUGGAGGAUUGACCCCUUCAGUGCCGCAGUUAACACAAUAAGUAAUCCACCUGGGGAGUACGACCGCAAGGUUGAAACUCAAAGGAAUUGACGGGGGCCCGCACAAGCAGUGGAGUAUGUGGUUUAAUUCGACGCAACGCGAAGAACCUUACCAAGUCUUGACAUCCCUUGACAGACAUAGAAAUAUGUAAUCUCUUCGGAGCAAGGAGACAGGUGGUGCAUGGUUGUCGUCAGCUCGUGUCGUGAGAUGUUGGGUUAAGUCCCGCAACGAGCGCAACCCCUGUUGCCAGUUGCCAGCAUUAAGUUGGGGACUCUGGCGAGACUGCCGGUGACAAGCCGGAGGAAGGCGGGGAUGACGUCAAAUCAUCAUGCCCCUUAUGAUCUGGGCGACACACGUGCUACAAUGGCGGUCACAGAGUGAGGCGAACCCGCGAGGGGGAGCAAACCACAAAAAGGCCGUCCCAGUUCGGACUGUAGUCUGCAACCCGACUACACGAAGCUGGAAUCGCUAGUAAUCGCGAAUCAGAAUGUCGCGGUGAAUACGUUCCCGGGUCUUGCACACACCGCCCGUCA
Molecule: ribosomal RNA, 1286 nt
Filed under: uncultured bacterium
Lineage: Bacteria
Description: bacterial SSU rRNA
Rfam family: Bacterial small subunit ribosomal RNA
Source: RNAcentral